GUGACCGAUAGGUUAUGGAGCUAACCUAGUUAAGUUUGGAGAUAAAUAGUUAAGUUUUAACAAGGGUGUUGGACAUUGAAAACGUAUUUAUUUCAGUUGGACAGUUUCCUAAGUAAGCACAAUGGCUGGGCUCAAGGACCUGAGUGGGUUUGGGAAUGAGUUCUCAUCUGAAGACCCUUGCUGUCCAGGAGCCUUACCUGAAGUUGGUUCUACCGUAUCCUGCCGUUUGUCCGUCACAAGCUGUACACCACAAUGCACUGUGGGAUCCUAACAGAGAAGUGGGAUGAAGUGGAACCUGACCCUAACCAGGGUCUGCACACCCUAUGUGGAGCAGGAGACACUAAGUCCCACAACAGGAUCGGCAUCCACAUGUUCACCUGCAACACCUCCAUGGUUGACAGUUGCUUCAACAACUCAGACGGUGACUUUCUCAUUG
This is a long non-coding RNA of Oncorhynchus gorbuscha (pink salmon), 436 nucleotides long. RefSeq lists it as uncharacterized. The transcript is spliced from 5 exons. NCBI's taxonomy places the organism in Eukaryota, Metazoa, Chordata, Actinopteri, Salmoniformes, Salmonidae. The record is from RefSeq and is a predicted model, not a curated record.